GUGCAUUAUCAUGUCAAUAUACACAGCACAUUAAUAAUAAUAAGAUGAGAUUAUUUGGUUCCUGACCCUGAACCAUUUGUGAGGGGUGAAUAUAAUAUAUUCUCGUAUACAACGUUUAUCAAACUGAUAUAUAUAACUUUGUGCUCAUAAGAAACAGUUUAGCUAUUAAGUGGAGGCACUCAAUAAUUAUCUUGCUAAACCAACUAUGAUAUAAACCAACUUAUCAAGAUGAGCUAUCUUGAGUAGAGAAUCUGGAAAUUAUGCUCGAAGUUAGAU
Molecule: long non-coding RNA, 276 nt
Filed under: Nicotiana benthamiana
Lineage: Eukaryota; Viridiplantae; Streptophyta; Magnoliopsida; Solanales; Solanaceae
Description: long non-coding RNA (NBEN_LNC024728)
Source: RNAcentral